AGUAAGGUCAGCUAAAUAAGCUUUCGGGCCCAUACCCCGAACAUGUUGGUUAAAGUCCUUCCUUUACUA
This 69-nucleotide transfer RNA is filed under the name Gymnothorax pseudothyrsoideus (highfin moray). RNAcentral's name for it is "tRNA-Met". It matches the Rfam family "tRNA". From Rfam's summary of the family: Transfer RNA (tRNA) molecules are approximately 80 nucleotides in length. The record is from RNAcentral. Lineage: Eukaryota; Metazoa; Chordata; Actinopteri; Anguilliformes; Muraenidae. RNAcentral also lists the same sequence under 2 other names.